Molecule: transfer RNA, 73 nt
Filed under: Camelus bactrianus (Bactrian camel)
Lineage: Eukaryota; Metazoa; Chordata; Mammalia; Artiodactyla; Camelidae
Also listed under: 2 other names
Rfam family: tRNA
About the family: Transfer RNA (tRNA) molecules are approximately 80 nucleotides in length. Their secondary structure includes four short double-helical elements and three loops (D, anti-codon, and T loops).
Source: Rfam by way of RNAcentral
GAGGGUAUAGCUCAAGUGGUAGAGAGCAUGCUUAGCAUGCAGGAGGUCCUGGGUUCAAUCCCCAGCAUCUUCU